ACACCGGCAGCCCAAGUGGUGGCCAUUUUUAUUGGGCGUAAGCGUUGGUCACCGGCCUGAUAAGUCUCUGGUGAAAUCCCGUAGCUUCAAUGUGGGAAUUGCUGGAGAUACUAUCAGGCUUGAGGGCGGGAGAGGUUAGAGGUACUCCAAGGGUAGGGGUGAAAUCCGAUAAUACUGGGAGGACCACCUGUGGCGAAGGCGGCUAGCUUGAACGAACGUGACGGUGAGUAACGAAAGCCAGGGGGGCGAACCGGAUUAGAUACCCGGGUAGUCCUGGCCGGAAACGAUGUGUACUUGGUGUUGGGAUGGCUUCGAGCUGCCCCAGUGCCGAAGGGAAGCUGUUAAGUCCACCGCCUGGGAAGUACGGCCGCAAGGCUGAAACUUAAAGGAAUUGGCGGGG
Molecule: ribosomal RNA, 400 nt
Filed under: uncultured bacterium
Lineage: Bacteria
Description: partial 16S ribosomal RNA
Rfam family: Archaeal small subunit ribosomal RNA
Source: RNAcentral